AUGAGAAUAUCAUUUUCAAUUAGGAGGAUGCCAUCUACAUACAAUAUGAGGAAUGUGACAGUGCUCCCUCUGAUCUUUUUGUACACACAUAGCUCCUCCUCAUUUUUUAUGAAAUCAAGCAUUUUUUAUCACAUCAUUAAAGCAAGUAUUCGAACUCCAAGAUGCUUGCUGGAGUCCAUAUAUAGACCUUUGCAGCUUGCAGACCUUGUGAUCACUAUCACUAAAUGUAAAAC
Molecule: long non-coding RNA, 233 nt
Filed under: Elaeis guineensis (African oil palm)
Lineage: Eukaryota; Viridiplantae; Streptophyta; Magnoliopsida; Arecales; Arecaceae
Description: long non-coding RNA (EGUI_LNC082551)
Source: RNAcentral